CACAGCUCAAGGCAAUUCGGGAUCCUUAACCCACUGAACGAGGCCAGGGAUCGAACGUGCAACCUCAUGGUUCCUAGUCAGAUGCAUUUCCACUGCCCCACAACGGGAACUCCGGUGCUAUCUUUUUUUCACCGUGUAAAUUUCCCUCUAUGUCUGGGAACAUUCACCUCUCACCACAGGCAUAGCACACGCUUUCUGCCACUUGUCUUUUGACUUAACUGGUGACCUCUAUCCUUGAUCCUGUCACAACUUCUUUUUUUAGGGCCGCACCCAUGGCACAUGCAAGUUCCCAGGCUAGGAGUCUAGUCGGAGCUACAGCUGCCGGCCUACAGACAGCCACAAGCAACGUGGGAUCACGAAUCCACCAAGUGAAGCCAGGGAUCGAACCCUCAUCCUCAUGGAUCCUAGUCAGGUUCGAGAAUGGCUGAGUUUUUAGAACCACAUAACCUUGUAAACAAUGCAGUCAAAUUAGUAACUUUUUCUUCAUGUUCCCAGGGUUCCUGUCUUGUGCAGAAAUUCUUUCCUAUGCUUAUGUUCUCGCUUCCUUUCAAUAUUUUUAUCACUUUAUCCUUGGCAGUUGCUGACUUGAUCCAGUUGGAAUGCAUCCGUGUCCUGUGAGGUCGCAUACAGAAUUCACAAGCCUCUCUGCACAGGGCCUCCUGCUGCAGCGGGCUGGCCCUUCCCACCAGCCCUUCCCACCGUUUCCAUCGCUGACUGAGGCCCAGAGACUGUGCAAGAGUUUCCUUGGAGGCCCCAUCGUUUCCUUUCCACGCUGAACUCCCUCAUCUGUUGGAAUCUACGCUGCUGCCGCCGCCGUCAAGGCUGAGGAGUGAGUCCCGUCCAACGAGAAUCGCCACCGUGGUAGCGUGCGAAAGAUGUAUAAACCGGAGUCUUUUUCCUCUUUCCGUGACAGUGCGGUUUUCACGCACGUUUGGAGCGCGUUUGCGGUGUGACGCGCUGGGAGGCGGGAGGGAGCGCAGGCUGUCUGGACUUCGCGCGGCGCCCUGCCCACGGCUCAGUGACCCGCAGGCUCUCUCGUCCCGGGGUCAACCCAGCGCAUCCAGGAAGGAUGUGGGCGCUCGGCCGCCGCCUCCAAUCUCCUGCGCGUCCCAGUUCGCGCCCCACUAACAGGCCCCUCUGAGCCGAGACCCCCGCGGCCGCCUGCGUCCCGCGCCAUCCUCCGCCCCCAAGGGUCCCGCCACCCUUCGUCUGCUCCCGCCCCGCCUCCCCCACCUGCGAUCGGUCUCGGGUCCGCGUUCGCCCUCGGCCCGCG
Molecule: long non-coding RNA, 1273 nt
Filed under: Sus scrofa (pig)
Lineage: Eukaryota; Metazoa; Chordata; Mammalia; Artiodactyla; Suidae
Description: lncRNA (ENSSSCG00015039612.1)
Source: RNAcentral